Long non-coding RNA from Fukomys damarensis (Damara mole-rat), 455 nucleotides. RefSeq lists it as uncharacterized. The record is from RefSeq and is a predicted model, not a curated record. NCBI's taxonomy places the organism in Eukaryota, Metazoa, Chordata, Mammalia, Rodentia, Bathyergidae. The transcript is spliced from 3 exons.
UUUAUUGCUGGCAGGAAUGUGGCUGAGCUGUAGCCACAAAGACAUCUGUUAGCAAUCUGCAGCCUCUGAGCGGCCCCCAGUUUUGUAGGCGUUUCAUCUGAAACUCGGGUUCACUCCUGCCUUUCUAACAACUUUUUUUUCUAAAAAAUAUUUUCUGCCUGUUGCGGAGAUCCACAUUCUGAUGCCCACACCUCGGGUCCACACAGCCGGCUCCAAAUCCAGGCCCAGCUACUCACAGCUGCGUGACCUUAGGGACAUGAGCUUUCUGGUUUCUGAUUUAUAAAAUGAACUUAAUAAGGCCGUCGUGACGUGUACCUGGGAUAUCAACAACGCCUCAGAGAAUGUCCCCACCGGAGAGGGACAGGCUGAGUUUGUGAACCUGCCAUGACUCAGCAACGCGGAGAAACAGCAUUCCAUGGGCAGGCAGCCAUGAGUUUCCUCUGCUGUGCCCCCUG